CAGUGCCUUGUGGGUAAAUAGCUUAUCGCUUGUCCGUUCACCGAGCAGAUUGAAAGAAGCCCCCUGACUGUCGACUUCUCUUUGGCUGAUUGAGAAUCAACCCUCCCUGCUGCUUUGGCUGUAGCUGUUUUUGGUGACAGCCAGCUGUUUACACAGUGCCCGGCUGUCUCUCUACCUCUCUCACUAUAUUUUGGGACUUUCUAGCUCUCCUAUCCCAUCUACCCAUUCUAUCUAAUUAUUGGAUAUUCUACCACUCUAUCCCAUCUACUCUAUACCACUCUAUCUGUUUUAUGGACAAACUUUUUCCAGAAAAUUUUACCAGAAAAACUUUUCCCAGAACAUUUUACCAGACAAAGUUUUUUCCAGAACAACAUUUUACCAGACAAAGUUUUUUCCAGAACAACAUUUUACAUGAAAAAGUUUUCUGCAACAAGGUCUUUGAGUGCCUUAUCUGACUACAUUUACCAGACCUGAGAGUUUCUUCACUCUCACCGCUCUCUCUGUCCUAUCCACACUCUUGCACUAGUUAUUUGCAUUAAGUUCAAGAAAUACAUCAACACAUUUUCAUAUUAAACCAUUUUUGGAUCUCUAUUGAGAGUUUAAGUUAAUUUGACCCACACAUAAAAAUAUUUGCUUAUAUUCAGUACAGAAAUUCUUAGUUUAAAUACCUACACAUACUUAUAAAUACAUAUAUUAACACAUUUUUCAUAUCAAAGCAUUUUUUGAUCUCUAUUGAGAGUUUAAGUUAAUUUGACCCACACAUAAAAAUAUUUGCUUAUAUUCAGUACAGAAAUUCUUAGUUUAAAUACCUACACAUAUUUAUAAAUACAUCAAUAUAGAUACAUACUGAAUUACACUUGAAAGGAACUGUUACCCAUCUCUCAUCCUCCUGCUGGUUUCGAGGUGAAUAUACGGUUUGUAAUAAAGGUUUGGAUCCAGAUAUAUUUUAUUAAGUGAAUUUGACCCACACAUAAAAAAUAUUUGGUCAUAUUCAGUACAGAAAUUCUUAGUUUAAAUACCUACACAUACUUAUAAAUACAUAUAUUAACACAUUUUCAUAUUAAACCAUUUUUGGAUCUCUAUUGAGAGUUUAAGUUAAUUUGACCCACACAUAAAAAAUAUUUGGUCAAUAAAGGUUUUGAUCCAGAUAUAUUUUAAGAUUUUUUUUUGUAAGAAGUUUAUGUAUGUGCAAGAAUAAAAACAUCUUAAAAAGA
Cyprinodon tularosa is the source of this 1214-nucleotide long non-coding RNA. RefSeq lists it as uncharacterized. The transcript is spliced from 5 exons. The record is from RefSeq and is a predicted model, not a curated record. Lineage: Eukaryota; Metazoa; Chordata; Actinopteri; Cyprinodontiformes; Cyprinodontidae.